AUUGAACGCUGGCGGCAUGCCUUACACAUGCAAGUCGAACGGUAACAGGUCUUCGGAUGCUGACGAGUGGCGAACGGGUGAGUAAUGCAUCGGAACGUGCCCAGUCGUGGGAGAUAACGCAGCGAAAGUUGCGCUAAUACCGCAUACGAUCUAUGGAUGAAAGCGGGGGACCGUAAGGCCUCGCGCGAUUGGAGCGGCCGAUGUCAGAUUAGGUAGUUGGUGGGGUAAAGGCUCACCAAGCCGACGAUCUGUAGCUGGUCUGAGAGGACGACCGACCAAACUGGGACUGAGACACGGCCCAGACUCCUACGGGAGGCAGCAGUGGGGAAUUUUGGACAAUGGGCGCAAGCCUGAUCCAGCAAUGCCGCGUGCAGGAAGAAGGCCUUCGGGUUGUAAACUGCUUUUGUACGGAACGAAACGGUCCUGGUUAAUACCCGGGGCUAAUGACGGUACCGUAAGAAUAAGCACCGGCUAACUACGUGCCAGCCGCCGCAGUAA
This 498-nucleotide ribosomal RNA is filed under the name uncultured bacterium. Its description in RNAcentral is "partial 16S ribosomal RNA". It matches the Rfam family "Bacterial small subunit ribosomal RNA", at positions 30 to 523 of the family's 1533-position model. The record is from RNAcentral.